RNAcentral lists this ribosomal RNA (494 nucleotides) under uncultured bacterium. Its description in RNAcentral is "bacterial SSU rRNA". It matches the Rfam family "Bacterial small subunit ribosomal RNA", at positions 8 to 359 of the family's 1533-position model. The record is from RNAcentral.
AGAGUUUGAUCCUGGCUCAGGACAAACGCUGGCGGCGUGCCUAACACAUGCAAGUCGAACGGACCAGUGCUUCGCACUGAUAAUUUGAGGGACAGAGUCCCUCCAACUCCCUUCCAAAAAGGUUUUUUUACCGGAUGCUGACUGAAGCUAUAGUUUAAAGAUCUUCAAGGGGGUUUGGGUAGAGCCCCCAAAAUACCAGUGCGGAGCACCGGUUAGUGGCGAACGGGUGAGUAACGCGUGGGUAAUCUACCCGGUAAGUGGGGGAUAACCCUCCGAAAGGAGGGCUAAUACCGCAUAACCUCUUCCCUUCCCCGGAAGGGAAGAUUAAAGAUGGCCUCUUUAUAUGCUAUCACUUCCGGAUGAGCCCGCGUCCUAUUAGUUAGUUGGUAGGGUAAUGGCCUACCAAGACCACAAUGGGUAGCCGGUCUGAGAGGAUGUACGGCCACACUGGGACUGAGAUACGGCCCAGACUCCUACGGGAGGCAGCAGUGGGG